UCUUCCGUAGUAUAGUGGUCAGUAUGUGAGCUUGUCAUUCCACAACGCUCGAGACCCGGGUUCAAUUCCCGGCGGGAGAG
Molecule: transfer RNA, 80 nt
Organism: Madurella mycetomatis
Lineage: Eukaryota; Fungi; Ascomycota; Sordariomycetes; Sordariales
Rfam family: tRNA
About the family: Transfer RNA (tRNA) molecules are approximately 80 nucleotides in length. Their secondary structure includes four short double-helical elements and three loops (D, anti-codon, and T loops). Further hydrogen bonds mediate the characteristic L-shaped molecular structure. tRNAs have two regions of fundamental functional importance: the anti-codon, which is responsible for specific mRNA codon recognition, and the 3' end, to which the tRNAs corresponding amino acid is attached (by aminoacyl-tRNA synthetases). tRNAs cope with the degeneracy of the genetic code in two manners: having more than one tRNA (with a specific anti-codon) for a particular amino acid; and 'wobble' base-pairing, i.e. permitting non-standard base-pairing at the 3rd anti-codon position.
Source: Rfam